GGGUUGUGAGGUUAAGCGACUAAGCGUACACGGUGGAUGCCCUGGCAGUCAGAGGCGAUGAAGGGCGUGCUAAUCUGCGAUAAGCGCCGGUAAGGUGAUAUGAACCGUUAUAACCGGCGAUACCCGAAUGGGGAAACCCAGUGUGACUCGUCACACUAUCAUUAACUGAAUCCAUAGGUUAAUGAGGCGAACCGGGGGAACUGAAACAUCUAAGUACCCCGAGGAAAAGAAAUCAACCGAGAUUCCCCCAGUAGCGGCGAGCGAACGGGGAGGAGCCCAGAGCCUGAAUCAGCAUGUGUGUUAGUGGAAGCGUCUGGAAAGGCGCGCGAUACAGGGUGACAGCCCCGUACACAAAAGCGCAUGUGCUGUGAGCUCGAUGAGUAGGGCGGGACACGUGGUAUCCUGUCUGAAUAUGGGGGGACCAUCCUCCAAGGCUAAAUACUCCUGACUGACCGAUAGUGAACCAGUACCGUGAGGGAAAGGCGAAAAGAACCCCGGCGAGGGGAGUGAAAAAGAACCUGAAACCGUGUACGUACAAGCAGUGGGAGCCCCACCACCAAAGCAUUUGCUGUACCGCGU
RNAcentral lists this ribosomal RNA (579 nucleotides) under Salmonella enterica subsp. enterica serovar Enteritidis. RNAcentral's name for it is "partial 23S ribosomal RNA". It matches the Rfam family "Bacterial large subunit ribosomal RNA", at positions 1 to 602 of the family's 2925-position model. The record is from RNAcentral. Lineage: Bacteria; Pseudomonadati; Pseudomonadota; Gammaproteobacteria; Enterobacterales; Enterobacteriaceae.